Molecule: ribosomal RNA, 385 nt
Filed under: Ichneumonidae sp. HD-409
Lineage: Eukaryota; Metazoa; Arthropoda; Insecta; Hymenoptera; Ichneumonidae
Description: eukaryotic LSU rRNA
Source: RNAcentral
CGAAUGAGGAGAUUCAUCGUCAGCUUAUUCAGUAUUAAUGCAGGCUAUGAUGUGAUAAUAGAAUCCUUGUGGUCACUAGAUUAUACUUGCUUGUAUUAUUUUUGCUGGGUAUGUCGGCGUGCACUUCUCCUCUAGUAGAACGUCGCAACCCGUUGGAUGUUUAUCUAUGGCUUGAAUGGUAGCCUUUGAUAUUUUUUAUAUUAAAGACCUUCGAUGUCCUGAUAAACUGUUUGACGGUAUACAUAUGGUAUUGAGCCGCAAUUAUUUGCGUUAGACUUGCCGCAAGUAUGACUUUAUUCUAGUAGUGCGGAUCUAAUGCCGUCGCUGGACAAAGUCUGCUGUUAGCUGUGUAAUGUCUUAACUGGCUUAUUUACGGUUAGCGAUG